UAAUUGAUCUGAGGUGGUGUGGAGGGUGUGUGGUGCGACUCUGUGGGGGUCCUGGCUCCUGCUGCAGGUAGGGAAGGUGGGGGCCCUACCCCUCCCCCUUAUCCUUGAGGGAGGGGGGAGGGGGAGGGCCGGUUGUGUGAGGGGGGGUCUGUUGUGUUUCUGGUUGUGUGUAUAGUUGUGAGCUCCGUCAGUGUGGGGCGUGGGCCUGAAUAGAGUGAUCUAGGGUGUGUGUGGGUGCUGGUUGGGGAGGCAGAGGGAGGGGGGAGGGGGGGGGGGUCUGUGUGGCUGAGUGUGGGCUGUGGAGGUGUCGGUGAGGGGAAGGUCCAGGCUCGAGGUGGGGUGGUAUGGGGACUGGUCGGUAUGGGGGAGGGGGGGAGUAGGUUGAGGGGGUGUGGGUUGGUGAUGAGUGGUGAGUGAGGGGCGGACGGUGUAUGGAGUAGUGUGUGUUCUAGUUGAUGUAAGGUGGUGGGUAAUAGUCUGUGGCCCAACCUCUUGUGCGCCCGGUUGGUAGCGGUCUUAAGUGAGAGUGUGUUGGUGGGCCGGGGUGUUUGUGUGAGUUGGUCUAUUGUGUGUGUGUAGUGUUCUUUUAGGAUCAACAUGUCAUUGUUCAUCCCGGUGUUGGAGUUGUCAUUAUUUCUUUGUGAUGUGGUGUCUGUGGGUGAUGGGUUUGAUGAAGUGGGAUCAUUUGUGGACCUGUCGUGACAUCCCCCUGGGGAGUUCCCGGGAGGACACCGCUCUGUCCGCUGUGUCCCUGUGGUGCAGGGCCUGGAGUAUUUUAAAAUAUACUUUGUCAUUUCCACGGGUUGGACCAUCUGGUGCAAUGUACCGGGUGUGUGUUGGUGGUGGUGGGAGGAGAGGACGGGUGGAGGGUGGAGGUGGUCUUUGUGGUCUGAGUGGUUGUGUGUGUGGGUGUGUUGGUGUGGGUCUGGUGUGUUCUGUGGUUUGAUAUGUGUGUGUGGGUCUAUUGUGGUGGUGGUGGGUGUGUGGGGGUCUAUACUGAAGGCUGGGGGGUCUAUAACGGGAUGUAGGUGUGGGAGGUAGCGUGCGUCUGUUGUGUGCGUGGUAGUGUGGCUGUGUGGUGUUGGUGCGAUUGGUGUAGGUAGGCCUCCAGGGUGAAGACACUUCAAUAAAGAUAGAUCUAUUUCAAAAGGGUGAAGCUGUGAGGGGGCUCUGACCUGCUGACGGAGAGGGUGGUGGUCCCGUGGUGGGUAGAGGAGAGGGUGGUGGUCCCGUGGUGGGUAGCCUGAGAGGGUGGUGGUCCCGUGGUGGGUAGCCUGAGAGGGUGGUGGUCCCGUGGUGGGUAGAGGCGACGGCAGGACGGUCCCUGGUAACUGCUGACGGUGACACAGCCAACGGGCCAAUAGAAACACACUUCUAUUGGAAAGGAUGAAAAGUACAUCAGAGUAAAUAAAAGGGGGGGUCUGAGGACCCCGCCCGCACACACACGCAUAGAAAUAUAUAUAUAUGUAUAUAUUUCUAAAUAUAUGUGUUCUGUUACAUGUAUGUUUUCUCCUGUGUAAUUCAGUCUUUUAUGUUUAUUGAUGGUCCUGUGAUGCCAUCUACUGGCGGACUUUGGUAUCUUUCUGAAAUACGUUCUGCUAUGCAUGCCUUUCACUCCAUUACACUACAUUCACUUGAUCGGAAAGCAUGGUACUCGCACUCGUCUUCAUAAUUGCGUCUCCUCUGGUUUCAAGUUAGCCUUUGAAAGCAUCGUUGGUACGUUAUCUGUAUUGAUAUGUUAAGGGGGUUUGAUGUAUAAUGAGAUUAAGGAAACUUUGUAAACAAAUUAGAUGGAUGGAUAUUCUUACAUUAGCAAGCUAACUUAGUAGCUAAGCUAAUUUUACAGCAUUCUGUUAUUCUCAUACUGAAAUGCUGUACUUCCAUUCCUCAGUUUUACCCUACUUCACCUCACCAUAAAGAGUGAACUGUAACUUUUCGUCUGCGUGGUUUGAUGGAGAGGAGUUUAUACUAUCUGUCAACCCUGGCAAGGUGCUGGGGGUAGAGGGCAAAACAAGAGAGAGAGACACAAACACACACACACACACACACACACACACACACACACACACACACACACACACACACACACACACACACACACACACACACACACACACACACAUCCACGCAUCCAGACCCAUCCAUACACAUCCUCUCAUUAAUAGUAAAUCAUGCGCAUUUAUACAAAAUAUAGGAAUAAAAAGGAGCACACUGCAAUCUCAGUAGAAGUCAUGGGCGAAAAAUAAAGGAACCCCAAAAUUGCACACGCAUGUACAUAUAUAAUAAAAACAUGGUAAAAGCAUGCAAGAAGUAUUAAAAUAACACAGGGUAAAGGUAAGUGCUGGCAGAUAAGUGCAAAAUAGAUUAAAUGAAUAAAUAAAAAAAUAGGAAUAUA
Molecule: long non-coding RNA, 2395 nt
Organism: Gadus morhua (Atlantic cod)
Lineage: Eukaryota; Metazoa; Chordata; Actinopteri; Gadiformes; Gadidae
Exons: 2
Source: RefSeq, a predicted model, not a curated record